Molecule: long non-coding RNA, 1453 nt
Filed under: Salmo salar (Atlantic salmon)
Lineage: Eukaryota; Metazoa; Chordata; Actinopteri; Salmoniformes; Salmonidae
Description: lncRNA (ENSSSAG00000086570.1, ENSSSAG00000110480.1, ENSSSAG00075021294.1)
Source: RNAcentral
GCUCUCGUUUUCAAUAAUAGUCAUUGUUAUUCGGAGCUGACUUUAUCCUCUAACUGUAUCUUCCUGUUGUCUUUAAGAAUUUGUAUCUUGAAGGUAAUGAAAUAUCCAGUCAUCCAGAUACGCUGUUCACCAGCUUGUCAAACUCGGUGUGGUUAGAUCUCUGAAGUAAUCAAAUCACAUCCCUUCCUGUGGAAAUUAUUCUGCACAGAUGUCUGAAAAUGUUAGAAAGGAAUCCUAUCACAGAGCUUCCACUAAAAUUGGGAUGCUUGGACUUCAUUUCCUUUACUUGAAGAGUGAGUUGUAACUCUCAAGGCCCUGAGUCUGAGGCAUUGCCCCAUCACAUUUCCGCCUCAAGAGGUUGCGCAGCAGGGCCUCCACUGCAUCGGUUAGCGUGCAGAACUCUCUUCCAGGUGAAUGAUAACGAUAACUGUAGUGUCACCUGAUGAAGUUGGACAAUGCGACGGCAAGGGGUUUGUGUGGUCUGCACCCUUCUGAACACGUCCACCGCCGUCUGUUAUUAUGCAUAAGAAAGGAAGGCUGGCCACCAAAAUAGCUCCUUGCCCUGGUUCCACUUCAGCGGUGUGACUCUGUUUCCUUUUUAGAUGGCACGUACAGCAGGCAGACUUUUUAUGCAGCUCUACACAUUCAUAUUUUUAGCCAGAUGAAAAUGAUCGAUAACCCAUGUGCUUCUAACAGAGGCACUUUGUCAUCCACCACUGGCUAGUAGUGCCUAUGGCUAAUCAGCAUGACUAGCCAAGUCACCCCUCAGAAGAAAGCCUACACCUAGAACAAAGACAUGCCCCCGGUGGAGAAGCUACAAUUGACAGAGCUUGUGAAGUCCAGUUUGGACCUCUGUGAAGAGGUGGUGUAUGAAGACGAGCAGCAGAGGUUCAGAGAACUGAGGCAGAAGAUGAUCCAAAUGGACAGAGCUGAGUUUGGCUAUGGCCUCCCUCUUUCACGCUUCUCUAGAGCAGCAGAGGGCUGAUACACCCCCUGCCCGUCAUUAAAAGAAAGAAAGAGAUUACCAGUGGAAAUAUAUUUCCAGAGGUCCCUCCGUUUGACAUGCAGUACUGGAAGAGGUCAGAGGAGAGAAGACUGGCUGCAAUGAACAAAGUAGGAAAGAUCAAGAGCUCCUCAAGAAAUGGCGUACUCAUGCUAGGAUCAUGCAGGAGAGGAACAUCUUAGAGCACAAGCAAGAAAGGUGUGAGCGACAUAUGAGAGGGGAGACGUUGAAAAAGAUGGCUGUGCAGGCUGUGCAGACACUAAGCUGAAGCUGUCCAGGUUGGAGAUAGCGACAGGCCUAGCUAGCGAUGGAGCACUGUCAGUCAUCCUGCAGUCAGAUGUCGCCAGGGAGGCCCCCCCCACAGCAGGGUGGCCAGAGACAGGGAGUUGGAGCAGUGUAUCAGGAGCCAUGUUCAGAUGAUGAAGGAGGCCCAGGGGCACUGGCCAAGAG